This is a long non-coding RNA of Entelurus aequoreus (snake pipefish), 1294 nucleotides long. RefSeq lists it as uncharacterized. The record is from RefSeq and is a predicted model, not a curated record. NCBI's taxonomy places the organism in Eukaryota, Metazoa, Chordata, Actinopteri, Syngnathiformes, Syngnathidae. The transcript is spliced from 3 exons.
UCUGAGCCCAUACACUUCCAUUUAGUUUUACCUUUACAAUUAUGGAUAAUUUUGUUGUUGCUACUUAUAUGAACUUAUUUUACAAUAAAUUCUACUAACUCUACACAAACAAUGACAUUAUUUACCCAUAACAGUCACUUCAUCUCCCUUUUUGCUGCAGCCCAGGAGUGUGGUAGUAAUCUGCCUGCUGUACACAGGAAGGAAAAAUGGUUGGCUGCCGGAGGAAGCUUCCUGAAAAGGCCACCGACGAGCAGAUGUGGAGGAGACGGUCUUCAUCAAUAUGCUGGCUGAGGCAGGAGCAAGAAGUCAGAGCGUCUUCCAGCAUUCUGCCGACGCCCAAGCUGGCCGUCUCAGCCCUUCUCCUCAAAGACUCCGCACUGGAGUCCCGAACAGCGGGUGUCAGGAAAACCCUGACGGCAUGAUCCACCACCUCUCUCACCAGGUGGAAGCUUCGGCGUCGGAGCUCUGUGAGCAGCGUCACUUCCUGGAUCCAGCUGAUGUUGGAGCUGCUCAACAUCCUCUGCAGCUCGUCAAGCAGAUACCGGAGGAAGCUCUCCACUUCUUGCUCCGUUUUGGGACACACUACUGCCAGGAACAUUUGGAGACCGUCCAGUGUGACCUUUUUAAAGGAGAGACAAAGAAGUGAGUGAAUUGUUCCAGAACAUACAGCAAGGGCAGAAAAAAAACUGUCCUUACCCUCCUCCCGAGCAGCUGUGAAAGCCUUAUCUCUUUAUCAAGUUCCUCACACACUUCUUUCUCCAGUUGGGUCAGAGAGAGGAACGCUGCUCUGAUCCAGCCCUGCACACAUCAACCAAUCACUAUUUAGCAAUCUUUAGUUUCAUGUACUCUUACACAUAUUCUAUAAUCACCAAUUCAUGAUGGAUGUUCCUCAUCCCCAUCAUCUGGAACCUUUAAAACAAAUAUACACAUAUGUAUUCUCUCCUUUUCAGACAUGUUUAUACCAGGACUACCUCCUACUCACUUUGUGUGGAAGUUUGUCUUAGCCAGGCGCCAUUGCUUCAUGUGAUGCACCGAGAUAUGCCUGGGAACUUCAUUCUUCUUCUUCAUGAGCACAAACUGCCUCAUAAGCAUCUUCUGCACACACAAAGACGAUACGGGAACCCUAUAGGAAAGAAAACGAGAAGAGACUUUAGAUGUUGCUGACAAAGCUUCUCCCUGAGAUGAAAAUGAUUGCAGGACCGAUACCACGCCACAAUGUACAGGACCAAUUCUUUCUACUUGAAAAUGUUCAAUAUUGAAAUAUGUUGUGACUAAAUAAUUAGAAUAAAACACU